UUUCCUACUCACUGAUUUUGGUUGCAUGAGACUUUUUGUUAUUUUUGAAUCUGGCCUCGCAUGUUCAAAACUUAUACACUCUUUAUAUGUAGAUUGUUCCUAUUAAAAUAACCUCUAAUUUUGGAGAUUGAUUUCAGAUUGCCAUUGUGUGAACUUGAUUGAUUCUUUCCUUGUCUAAAUUGAACCUUCCGAUUCCCUUCUUUUCUGACUUGGUUCAUUAUUGAUUUCGAAUCUUUGAUUCCCUGAUUUACUAUGUACUAGUUGAUUUAAUUCUUGCCUUAUUUACUUAACCAUGUGUUUCAAAACUUUCCCCUAUGUAUUUAUCCCAUAUUUUCAUGUUGUGCACGAUAUGUUACUUGAUUCCCUUUCAUUAAAUAGCUUCUGCCCUUUUACCAUUCAAAUUUGAACUCCUUAAUUAAAGGAAUUCCCUUCUACUGAUUGAUUUUAGCUGAUACUUGAUUAUUUUCUUGCCUUUCCUACAUGCCUGAUUUCAAAGUAUAAAUACAUGCUCCUCUUUUGACACGAAAAAAAUAAUUCGACACAAACAUCUCUAUCUUGAAAUAUUCAUUACUACUUAACUACUUUCUCUACUACUCUCUCUAUUACUACUCUUCUUUCUCCACUCGGCACCCUGCCCUGCUCUUCUAUAAUCUGAAAAUAAUCUCGAGUUCCUCCUGAACUCUCAAAUAUUUUCUCAAGGAUUUGAGUGUGAUAUUGCUGAUUUAUGAUUGUUUAUCUGCUUUGGUUGUUCUGUUGUUCUAAAAACUUGUAACUGGUAUGUUCUCCUAGUUAAAUAACACCCUCUUUAUUAUGUGUUCACUCCUCCUCUUCUACACUUCUUUCCAUGUGUGUUUACUUAUGCUUUCCUACAUUAUCUAAUUACAUUCAAGCAUGCUAUGCCUUUUCCUUUAUGUUUUCAAUCUGUUAUAGUUUUAAUCCCCU
This 942-nucleotide long non-coding RNA is filed under the name Nicotiana benthamiana. RNAcentral describes it as "long non-coding RNA (NBEN_LNC039566)". Lineage: Eukaryota; Viridiplantae; Streptophyta; Magnoliopsida; Solanales; Solanaceae. The record is from RNAcentral.